AACGCACAUUGCGCCCGCCAGUAUUCUGGCGGGCAUGCCUGUUCGAGCGUCAUUUCAACCCUCAAGCUCUGCUUGGUGUUGGGGAUCGGCGUAGCGUCCUCGCGGCGCUGCCGUCCCCUAAAUCUAGUGGCGGUCCUGCCGUAGAUACCUCUGCGUAGUAGUUUUCUCCUCGCUCUGGAAUCUCGGCGGUGCCCUGCCGUUAAACCCCCAACUUCUGAAAGGUUGACCUCGAAUCAGGUAGGAAUACCCGCUGAACUUAA
RNAcentral lists this unclassified non-coding RNA (260 nucleotides) under uncultured fungus. RNAcentral's name for it is "sequence contains ITS2". The stretch from base 1 to 52 matches the Rfam family "5.8S ribosomal RNA", at positions 103 to 154 of the family's 154-position model. Lineage: Eukaryota; Fungi. The record is from RNAcentral.